RNAcentral lists this ribosomal RNA (301 nucleotides) under uncultured bacterium. RNAcentral's name for it is "partial 16S ribosomal RNA". It matches the Rfam family "Bacterial small subunit ribosomal RNA", at positions 509 to 807 of the family's 1533-position model. The record is from RNAcentral.
CAGUAGCCACGGGAAUACGUAGGUGGCAAGCGUUGUCCGGAAUUAUUGGGCGUAAAGGGCUCGCAGGCGGUUUCUUAAGUCUGAUGUGAAAGCCCCCGGCUCAACCGGGGAGGGUCAUUAGAAACUGGGAAACUUGAGUGCAGAAGAGGAGAGUGGAAUUCCACGUGUAGCGGUGAAAUGCGUAGAGAUGUGGAGGAACACCAGUGGCGAAGGCGACUCUCUGGUCUGUAACUGACGCUGAGGAGCGAAAGCGUGGGGAGCGAACAGGAUUAGAUACCCCCGUAGUCCCUGUCUCUUAUAC